Hydra vulgaris (swiftwater hydra) is the source of this 855-nucleotide long non-coding RNA. RefSeq lists it as uncharacterized. The record is from RefSeq and is a predicted model, not a curated record. NCBI's taxonomy places the organism in Eukaryota, Metazoa, Cnidaria, Hydrozoa, Anthoathecata, Hydridae.
UAAAGCAUACUUUGAUAACACUAAAAUAAAGAAACGUAUUAUUUUCACCAAUUAGUUUUACAAAAAAGAACUAAAGUGUCAAGCUUAAAACAAACAAAAACGCAUCGUUUAAUGGUAAAGUAUUAAUUAUAGAACGGCUGGUCAAAAGGCUUUUUAUACAAAAGCAAGGUUAGCAAAAAUACAUUAAUGUAAAAAAAUAAAUAUGUCUAUUCAAACAAAAAAUAAAGUAGCUUCAUUAACGCAGGUGAAAUAGAGUAGCUUCAUUAAAGCAGGUAAACUAUAGUAACCUCGUAUAGGCAGGUGAAAUCAAAGUUUUAUUUAUUGCUAGAAGUUCCAAAAGACCUUUUACAUGUUGUAUUUAUUUAACUAUUAGUAAAAUGCUCAUAUUUUAUUGAUCUAUUUGAUUUGAAAAAGUAUAAAAUCACAACUUACUGCUUAAACUACGUUUGUAUAAAAUAAUACAACUCUAAAAAUAAAAAUGAACUUCAUAUUGCUCGUUCUAUUUGCUUCUAUCCUAAUCUUGGUUCCAACUGCAGAGAGCUUUGCUGGAGGACGAGGUGGUAAAAGGGACGAAGAAACUGAGACAGAUAAACUACUUGAGGCAAUUUCGUAUAUAGACUAUGGCAAUUAUAGAAACCGAGACUCUGGCUACAAAUUUCAAAAUACUAGGCGAAUUUUAGAUCGAUGCUCGGUAUUUUGCGAUUUCGCAAAUGAUUAUUAUGACGCAUGCGUUAAGCAGUGUGAAAAGCAAUAUGGUCUCACAAAAUAAAAUGUAGCAAGGAUGUUGUAAAAUGUUAAAAUAUCAUAUGUAAAACUGACGUUUAUUUUAUAAUGUAUUAAACUUUUUUAAAUUAA